Molecule: transfer RNA, 85 nt
Filed under: Escherichia coli
Lineage: Bacteria; Pseudomonadati; Pseudomonadota; Gammaproteobacteria; Enterobacterales; Enterobacteriaceae
Also listed under: 11 other names
Description: tRNA-Tyr
Rfam family: tRNA
About the family: Transfer RNA (tRNA) molecules are approximately 80 nucleotides in length. Their secondary structure includes four short double-helical elements and three loops (D, anti-codon, and T loops).
Source: RNAcentral
GGUGGGGUUCCCGAGCGGCCAAAGGGAGCAGACUGUAAAUCUGCCGUCAUCGACUUCGAAGGUUCGAAUCCUUCCCCUACCACCA